RNA transcript from Oryzias melastigma (Indian medaka), 4908 nucleotides. It is a transcript of the gene named TELO2 interacting protein 1, with no coding region annotated. Lineage: Eukaryota; Metazoa; Chordata; Actinopteri; Beloniformes; Adrianichthyidae. The transcript has 15 exons. The record is from RefSeq and is a predicted model, not a curated record.
GUGACACUAUAAGUAAGGCCUUUGCCAGUGUGGUAGCUUUUUACAAGUGAUCAAGAUGGCCAAAAGAUAAUCUGCUGAGAGGGUCUUGCAAUUUAUUUGGGAAGAGGGAGAAGCUUCUGAAGAUGUCGAGGAAGAGGUUUCAGAAUUGUAACAUCAUAUUGCUGAAAAUUCAGAGUCUGACAGUGACUUUGAGGAAGAAGAGGAGGUCGACCACCAAUUAGAACCAAAACGAAGAAGAGCAGCCCGUCGGCAGCCAGCUCCGGUACCAGCCCGUCAGCAGCACAGGUACGCUACACAGGGAUGGGAGAAUCUGUGACCAGGAACAUCAAAAGCCUCAGAUACCACAAAAGGAGGGGUGGAGAACACUGACAAGCUGGUGACUGCCUACUGCUCUAAAAGAAGUCCCUACGCUGGCUGCUGGUGAUAUUCUUUGACAUGAUGGACAUCUCAGUGUACAACGCCUUUGUCAUGUUGAUGGUACUGAACACAGAGUGGAACAAGGGGAAGCUCCAGAGAAAACGCCUCUUUCUUGAGGAACUGGGAAAGACCCUGAUGAGACCUCAAAUCCUCAAAAGACAACAUGUUCCAUGAACACCAGCUUCUGCCGCCAUUGGGAGGAGAAUUCAAGAGGAGAAUGCUGGUGCCCCAUCCACCCAACCUACAAAACCACCAUCUGCUGAACCUGAAUGCUGCGUUGCCUCCAGCCAUGUCUCAGAUAAGUGAUCCAAACAUUGCCUUUGCCUACCUGCGGCCAGCCUGCGUCCAGCUCACCAAAGAUCCCUCUGUGACCAACGUGGAGACGCUGAGGGGACAGCUGAAAGACAUCAACGAUGCAACUCUGCAGAAGCUUCAGGAGUACAUCCUCUUUCCUCUUCGCUUCGUCCUGAAAGUCCCCGGACCUAAAAAGGAGAAGCUGGUGCAGGCUGUGGCAGAGGCGAUAAGCUUCAUGCUGGAGAACACGUGUGUCCAGAGCUGGGACACUCUCCGGGACCUCUUCUCCGAGCUGUGUCUGUGUCUCUGCUGUCCCGCAGACCCCGGGCGGCCUGCAGAGGUGUCUGAGGAGCUGAAGCUGGCUCUGGUUGUGUGCCUGGAUGCUCUGCUUCAUGCGGCUUAUGGAGAUAUCGUCUUUAGACUCUAUGAAUCGAUCAUGCUGCUUGAACUCGGAGCUGCAGUUUCUCUACUGCUGGCUUUGAGUGAAAAAGAGAAGUCUCGAGAUAUACAGAGAGCCGCCUUGAAGUGCAUCCAGACGUUGGCGCUGCAGUGCGACUGCACCCAGGUGCACGUGUCACCGUCUCCUGACAAGCGAUGCUCUGUGGGAGACACCAUGGCUUCAUUUUUACCUGGGAUUACCACGACUGUUACGAGGAUCAUUGCAGGAGAUCCGAGACAAGGCCAUACAGUUACAGUCCGGGCCAUUAAGGUGUGGUCCAUGAUGGUCGGGCUGGUCAUGGAAGACGCCCAGCUGCGCUCCAGGAAGUCCCUGCAGCCGGUCUCUGCAGAGCUGGGGCGGAUCGGACAGCUGCUGGUCCAGAGAACUCCAGACUGGGUGAAAAGCACAGCAGAGAAGCUGUCCGUCCUGCUGAAGAGGAUCAUCUCCUGCACGUCCGCCCAUCUGCACUGGAGGGUGAGGCUGGAGCUGGUGCAGCUGGCUGACCACCUGCUGGCCUCGUGCAGUCAGUCCCUCAGAGAGUGUGUGGGGCCACUGCUGGAGGUGCUGGUGGGAGCGGUGAACGACGAGGAGCCCAGAGUCAGAGAAAGGUGUGAGGCAGCUCUCAGGGAGGUGUCCCAGCGGAGUCAGAGCUGCAGCAGCAAUACUCAAACCUUCUCAGACGUCCUGUCUGAGAAUCUCCUCUCUUUAGCCUCCUCCCUUCCGAGGCUGAUGAGGACUUCUGAUGAUCAGAAGAAGCUGUUUGUCCUGAAGGCGUUUCUGGGGUACCUGAAAGUGCUGGGACCGCUCGUCUCUGUGGUUCUGAACUCGGCUGCACAUCUGGAGAUCAUUUCUAAAGCACUGAUGCAGGUGCUGGAGUUGGACGUAACGGAUGUUCGGAUCGUGGAAGAACGGAGCUACACCGAUGCAGCAGAGAGAAGCUCCCAUGCUCACGUACAAAAGAAGCAUUUCCUCUACUUCACGGACGAGAAGAUCUUCUGUGCUCUCAUGGAGAUUUGCAGAACUUUAGGUUACCAUGGAGACAUCUACCUUCUGACCGAUCACUUCCUGGACUUGUACCGACAGUCGUCAGCGUGCAGAAAGCAGGCUGCCAUGGUCCUGAAUGAGGUCAUCAGAGGGGCUGCAGGCAUCUCUGUGGCAGCUCGCCGUUUGGGCGAUGAGGGACCCUCCACCUCCAGGGAGGAUCUUAAAGCAGCCGCCGUGUCUGUCAUGGAGGAGUACACCAGUCUGAACAACUGGCACCUGAUCACUGCGAGUGAGGAGACGGAGCGGGACCGGCAGGAUCAGCAGCUCCUCAGCUCCUCCAGACUUCUCUCCAUAUCUAGCAGUGAUGUCAUUACUGCAAACUCCGCCUCCCUUCCCGCCUCAUCAACCUUCGCCACGAUCCAGCAGCUCAACAGCAACAUCUGGCAGCUGUGCAUCCAGCUGGAGGGCGUGGCCUGCUUCGCUCAGGCGCUGGAGCGCGACUUCCGUCCCCUGCUGAUGACAUCACUGUACCCGGUGCUGGAGAAGGCUGGUGAGGAGACGCUGCUGGUCAGCCAAGCCGCACUGAACGCCAUGGAAGACAUCAGCGAGGCCUGCGGCUACUCCGCCCUGAAGGAGCUGAUCAACCAGAACUCCGAUUAUCUGCUCAAUGACAUCUCACUGAACCUGCAGAGGCUCAGCGAGCACCCACAGGCUCCUCGAGUGCUGGCCGUGAUGCUGACUCACUCUGACUGCAGCCUGCUGCCUCUGGUCGGAGACAUUGUUCAGGAUGUCCUGACGGCUCUGGAUCUCAGCUACAACCGCUCAGCUGCUCUUUUCUGCUCACUGCUGCAGGCUCUCAUGAAGGCUCUGGUGAGGUGGUUUCCUGCCGCGCACAGCAGAACCAACAUUCCUGCCCGUUCCUCCUCUGAGCAGGAGGAAUUCUGCAUUCGCCAUUUCUUCCUUGAAUACAGAAAGCAGAAAGAACUGUCAGAAGGCAUCGGGAUCGAGGAGGACGACGCUGCAGACCUUGCAGAGGUCCCUCCCCCCUCACAGUGUGAGGCGGUGGAUGAUGCUGGCGGCUCUGACGUGAAAGCUGAACUUCCACUACACCUCAGCAUCACCAAAGAUGUCAUGGAGCGCUGCAUUCACCUCGUGUCUGACCCCGCCCUCCGCCUCCGGCUGAAGUUUCUGGACCUUCUGGAUCUCUGCGUGCUCGUGUUGAGUGAGAAGGAGGACGAGCUGCUGCCGAUGGCUCAUCGCUGCUGGCCGGCCCUCCUGCAGAGACUCACCGCUGAUGACCAGUUAGUCGUCCUCCGAGCCUUCAGGGUGCUGUGCACUCUGGGAGAGACGUGCGGGGACUUCCUGAGGAGGAGGGUUUCUAAGGACGUCCUGCCGAAGGUGACCUGGUCUCUGUCCCGGCAGGCCCCGGUCAGCGCCAGAGCCGGGCCCGUCUACACGCACAGCCUGGCCUACAAGCUGCAGCUGGCGUACCUGCAGGGGCUGGGCUCCCUGUGCCAGAGGCUGGAUCUGGGCCUGUCACCAUUUUGUCUGAUGUCACCGUGAAAAGGGUCUAUAAUAGCCGACAGAGAAACCAGUUGGUGACCACAACUGGGACUAAUGAAAGACUGCUCUUCCCUUUUGGCUUCAGAAUCUGUCAUAGAAGUUGGAUCUUGUAUCUUCAGGAGACAUGGAGACGUUCAGCUCUAGUGACAUCUGAUUUAAUGUCAAAGUGGGAGCAUGCAGAAAUGAUAAAGACUGAGACCUAAAACAGAUCCUUGUGGUAUCCCACGUUGUAUUCAUGAAUAAUUAAAUGUACUGUCAUGAAUGUAGCAGAAUUUCUGCAUCUGAAAAAGAGCCGUCCUUUCUUUUCCUCUCUGGAACUUGAAGGAGAGGAAGAUUUGGGGGCUGGAAGUGGAGAGAAUAUGAAGGAGAAACAGUCAGCGGCUGCAGCUCCACUCAAGUGAAUACUGAUUUGGCUACAGCUUACCUCUGGGACGACUGCAGCAAGCCAAUUACCUAGCCUUAGUCAGAGAGAGCAGGACAGAAACACAGACUGACUGAAGCCGGUGAUACGUUUCAACCCCAGCUCUCAUUUCAGGCCCAACUCCACAAAAAUCCACCUGAAACCGGAGCUCUCCUCUUCGGAACGUAUUUGCUUCCCUGCAAGUGCAGCUCAGGAAGAAGAGGAAGAGGAGGGAUGAAAGCGCUCGUUAAAUAAUCCCAUUCUCCUCUGAAAUGUGCGCCGCUGCUUUUAUUCUGGACGGCGGCGAAGCGGAGUGUGGCUGGAAUUGGUAAAUAGGGUAAGCAGAGAGACAGACAUGUUUUGAAAUGAGGCUUGAAAGGCAGCCCAGUUUGCAGCUUAGGGAAUCACUAAAUGUCUGCUGGGAAGGAUGGAGGGAGAGUGAUGGGAAGAGGAGAUGAAAGAGUGGAGAGAAGUCAAACGGAUGGAGGAGCUGGCAGGGUUGUGACAGAUGCAGUCGGUGGAUUGUGGGGAGGAGAACAGAGGCAGGUUUGUCAGAGCACAUCAAACUGGAGGAAACAAGGAGAGGAAAAAACACACCAACAAUGGAGGGAAGAGACUGUGCAGACGCCCGUCCUCAUCCAUCGCUGCCGAUUCUCUGCACUCUUUAGGAGGUGAAGCAGACCUGGAUGCUGUUUUUGAAGCGUGCUUACCCUACCUGAGCUGCAGACAGCCAAUCAGACUGCAGGAGGCCGGCCUGAGCGUCUUCCAGCACCUGAUCCAGGUGGAUCCCGACACCUUCUGGUUUACCCUC